UUCUCUCUCUGAACGAUUACUCUCCCUUCUCUCUAGAACCUUCUGGUUCUCCGAUGAGACCCGUCACCUCUCCGACCAUACCCCCCUCACUUCUCUCGAUCUUCAGUCGUCAUGGACACCUCUGAAGCUCGAAGCAAAAGUCAUCCGCCAUGAAAGACGGUCACUGAAGCCCUUCCUGGGUCCAUUUUCGGCCUUUCUCCAGUGGAUUUGCUCGAUGAUGCUUGAAUAUCGAUAUUAUAUGAGUUUCACGGCCAGGUCUCUCAUCUCCCUAAUUUAUUUGCAAAGCCUAAUUUUUUUGCCUAAACCGCUUUAAUAACUGUCUUUUUAAAUGAUUUUUGGUUUAAUAUUUGUUUUCUAUGCUACUUGUCACUUGAUAUCUUCGAUUAAGUCUUUUUUUAAAAACUAGGGUUUCUGACCCCUUUCUAAAAUCGCUAUGCUUCUGUUAUCUUUGGACAUUAUGUGCUUAUUCCUGUGAUUAUGUGUUUGAAACCUUGUUGUUUCUGAGUUCCACGCCUCGAGUCUCUUCUAGGGCUCCGACCCUAUACUUUUUGUAUGAUUCCUUGCUUAGGGUUUUUGAUUCCUGUGACCUUUUAAGUUUGAAUGCCUCUUUCUUUACUGAAUAUCCUAUUAGUUCCAAGUAUCUUUUGAAUCACUGAUUCGUGUGUAUUCUUACAUUGAUUUCAAAUUGUUUCCUUAUUUGUGAGUUGCUUUCUAUGUUUGGGACUAAUUCCUUCUAAUUUUGGUCCUGCUCGUGAUUCUUGGACUGACUGUUCGUAGUUGAUUUAUAUUAUUUGCCAUAUUUGUGCACUCAAGUAUAUUUUAGUUAUUCAGCCUAUAUUUUCCUUGUUUGAAAUAUUGUGUAUCUAGCCUUUGUUAUGUACAGCAUGCCUAUUGCUUUCGUUAUGGUAUAAUCAGUCAUUCAACUGACUUUUUCCUUAUUUGAUAGCAUGUACUCUUAUUCAAAUUUUGAGCCCCUGAUUUAUUUGAAUUAGGACCUAUGAUUGAUUCAAUUUGGUAUUGUUUCUAUAUUGUACUUUUAUUUGAAUUUUGAAUCCCUAAUUUAUUUGAAUUAUGACAUAUGAUUGAUUUAAUUUGAUAUUGUUUCUAUAAUUAUACACUCCCUACCCUAUUCUCUACUAUUUUCAAAAACUAUAAGUACUACUCUUAUCUUCUCACUUGAGACAGACAGAGACACGAAUACAAUCCCUCAAAACUUUUCCUUCAGAAAAUAUUCAGUGCUUUCUCUCUAUAUUGUUUUCUAUACAAACUCUCUCAUUCUCUUAUUGGAACACUCAAUCGGCUGAAAGCCAAGAUUGAGUAUCUUGGGUUGAUUACUUCUACGUUACUGGGUUCUAUUGUUUGUUCACUUGGGUCUGUUGUUGCAGCUACUCUCAUAUUGUUGCUGCACACUAUUCUUCUCUCUGGUGCUUAUACUCUUUGCUCACCUGGUUCCUCUGUGCACUAUUGUUAUUGUUGUCUAUUGUUUGCAACUGGUAUGUCAUUCCUUUAUGAUAUAGUUUCAACAACAACCUGUUUCUAUUGAUUUUACAUUUCAUAAUGUUUCUUGUGUGUUAUUACUUAUGGUUUUGUUGCUCCUUCUGUCACUAGCAUGUCACUCACAAAUUUAUUUGGUUCAGCUUAGUGUGCUUUUUUACCCCUUCCCUGCCUCAAUGAAUGUUUUCCUUUCCCUUGUGCAUUACUACUAUGUGUCCAUGUCUGCUUGACUACUUGGUUAACCUAAAACCUCUGUUUGAAGAUAAGUGUAUUAGAGUAAGAACUGAACUCUUGUUUUACAACCAUGUCUAGUUAUUUUCUCCCAAUAUGUUGCCUGUGUAAGUAGUUUAUUUUGCUUAUUUGUUCCCUUCCUCUUGUCCUUGUUUGUGUGAUGCUCUGUUGGUUUUAAGAACUGGUCAGUCUAAAUGUUUUCUGGAGAGCUCUUGCAAUUCUUCCAACUGUUUUCUUAAACUCUCUUAAAUCUUUCAACUGUUUUCAACUCUCUCAAUUCUAAUCACAAUAUCAUUCUUAAACCUUAGGGUCUGCCCACUUAGUGUAAGCAUUGCUUUGGGAGCCUUGAGCACCCAUUGAACUUUGAUGCAUAAGGCUGGCACUUCCACACUUGUCCAAUUGGGAUAUUUUGGGUGUCUGGUAUUGGUCAGGGGUUCAAACGAACCCUUAGGGAACUUUGUCGCAUCCAAGCCUUGGUAAUGGCCGUGAAACUCGAAAGAAGUGAUGUUGGAGAUCUUGGGCAUGGCUGUAGGCUCCCUAUAGAAUAGCUUCUUCCUUUUUUUAUCAAUGUUGUAAUUUUAAGUUACUUGGUCUGUAAUAACGUGUAAAAAUAAUGGGGUUUAUAGUAAAAUUGGGAGGGUUAUGCAUGCUUAGUUAAGGGGAAUGGGUAGAAAACAUGUUAUUGGAUUUUACUUACCUAUUUGCACAAUAGAAAUCCUGCUUUAAGACAUGCAUCUUCGCAUAUAGAAAUCUUGUUCUUUAGGCCUCUCGCUUUCAGUUUGUUAUUGUCUCAUAACCCUAAUUAAUCAAUAAUAAAUGAAUCAUCACCAUCACAUUUAGAUGCAAUGCUUAUAGGACUUUCUAUGCAUUAUAUAUCAUGCCAUGAGGAUUUUUAUUUGCAACUGUUUAAACACUUCGCUAAUUUAGGUAAAACUGGUUAACAACUCCUCGUUAAAACUGGAAACCAUUGUAUGCUCACCAUAUUUUAAUAACGCCUAGGUAAAUCUUAGGCCGGAUAAAAAUGGGCUAAUCACUUUCAAGUCGUGGUCAAAUUAAUCUGUCUCUGUCAGAAUUCGUUUGUCUUUGAAGCUCUCUCUAUUUUUUACAAACUUCUGCCAUAUUUUUAAAACCAUCCGUGCAAAGGAUUUCUACUGUAUUUUCUUGUCCAGAUUUGGACCACUAUUUCAACUAUCUGAGUACCAAUUUUCAUAAAGCCUGUAUGUUUUACUGUUUUCUUUACGCUUCUGCAAUAUCAAAAUGCUUUUAUGCUUGUUCUUUUACUCCGCCCGUCCAAAACUGUUUUACUAGGCAUUUCACAAAUAUUUCUAAAUGACUUCUGCACAUUUCUAAAAAACUUAUACUGCCUCGUUUUAGUUCUGAACGUUCUUUUUCUCUUACGUACCUUUCUGCAAACUCUUUAACUUCUGUUUUAAUUUAUACUCCAGCUUUUAACUCUCUUUUUCUUAGACCUUACAUGUGUUUGAGACGUGCUAAUAAUGUGUUUGCUUAUGCAGGGAUAUUUGAGCCUUCGUAUAUGCCUUUACAUGAUUCCAUUACGUGUAGUCCUACUUGUUUUUGUAUGUCGCUUUGUGUUUUAACCUUUAAACUUAAGGGUUCAGCCUAGUUCCUACCUUAUAGGAAUAGUGAUCCUAAAUGGCCUCUAGGAUCUAUAGAAUGGGAUGUGUAAUAGCACGCGAUAAGUAUUUGUGACCAAUCUAAUCUUUGCGGGGUGGGAAGUUAGAAUAUGGAGAUGAUGACGACGUGAUAAUAUCAUAAAGCGACCCCUCUUUGGGAAUAUGAGCUAGAUACUGCAUCGAAUGAUCCAUAUUAUAGUCAAACUUAGGACCCUUUUUCUCUCUUACGUGCUUUAUUUAAAUGUAUUCCUGAAGCUUUUCAAAUUGAUCUUCUCCCCUAUUUCAAACUUAUGUUUUCUUUAAAGCUCUCAAAUUAUAUGAAUAUGUGCACUUCAUUUGUCUGCUUGCUUCAUCUUCUUUAUGAAGUCACAAUUAGCACGUACAGGAACCACAUUUGUGGAUCUAGAGGGGUGCCUAACACCUUCCUCUCGAGAUAAUUCAAGCCCUUACCCAAUUAUGGUUUCUCUCUUAAAAACAGUCCCUUAAAGUGUCCUAAUGCACGAUAAUCAUAAGGUGGCGACUCUUCCAACUUCAUAACCCAAUUCCCAAACGGGAAAUAGAGUUGUUUUGCCUCUAAUGUCGUGAAAUUCGAUUUCGCCCUUUUGAAAAAGGGGGGCGUCGACACCAAAUACGAACCAAGGACGCUGAUGUAGC
RNAcentral lists this long non-coding RNA (4013 nucleotides) under Nicotiana benthamiana. Its description in RNAcentral is "long non-coding RNA (NBEN_LNC028201)". Lineage: Eukaryota; Viridiplantae; Streptophyta; Magnoliopsida; Solanales; Solanaceae. The record is from RNAcentral.